GGAAGACCGACCACAGAAAGCUAAUGAACGCUGUAGAGUUCCCUUGCAGACCGUGGCCAUGGCUUUGGCAGUCCCUGACAGACACGGCGCUCCCCUCUCCCCCCACACCUGAUAGCGGACUGAAAGCAGGCAACACCCGAUAGAAGCAUUAACGUUAGCUAACGUUAACGUUACGCCGUUCGAGACGGGAUGUGGACAACAUCUUCUGUUUCGUUGGUGGACCAUCAGACGUGAUUCUAUGACUCAUCCUGGGCACAGAGCGGCUGUUCAAGACACCCAGGGCUAAGAGUGGCGCAGGAACCUCUGUUUCAACGACGACGCUCAGCCGUCUGAUGUUGGGUGUCAACGAGCAAGACUGGCCUCCAUCUUCAGAGCACCAGGCGGAGCCCCUGAAGAAACCGACCUGUUAAGAGUCAAGCAUCGACUUCUUUUCAGACCCACACUAGCACACUACCAGCAUUUGUUUUCAAUAACAAAAGAGAGAACAUACUCGAGACUGAUUCAAUACCACUUUACCUCCCGUCAUCCUGUCCUUUCCUCUCCAGUCCAAGAACAACCUCCCCUGCUCUCUACCUCCCAGAGAAAUAGAAAAGGAAAGAAGUGAAAAGCAAUUUAUUAUCCUUUUAUCAGUUCCUCUUUCUCUCCAGUUCGUGCAACAGUUCUCCCAUUUUACCUCAGGGAUUUUUCUCCCACGGCCUACCUCCUCCACGAGAAACCCAGUGACUGGAACAAAAAAACACACCUGUGACCUCUCGCUGUUGUUACCAUGACAACCUGUAUUGCCUCUCAAGCACCCCUCGCCGCAAGCGUGAGGACCAGCAAUGACCUUGGACCUCUCACCCCCUGCCAGCUCAGACCAGCUCGCUGUCUAAAUUGUACUGAUCAACACUUGUAGCCUGGAAUAUCGGGCCAGUUAUCCCCUGGAACGGAAAAAAGGGGUCCCAUUGCCAAUAAAGCCAGCUACACACUCACAAUAACCUCACCCUUCUGGUACAAUACGCCCAGCAGGAAACAAUAUACCUCAGCAGAGACACAGCUUCUCACUCAAGGAAAGUGGAAGGGAACUUUUACAGCAAUAGCAUUCACUGUCCCGGUGCUUCAAUCCACCCAGCAGGGUAACACAUGCUCACCAGCCUGGUGCUUCAAUCCACCCAGUAGGCAACUCACUUCAGCAUCUUCCAUUUGCCUGAGAGGCAAGAGUAUAGCAAUCGUAGCCAGGGAGGCCUCUAGAGGAGCAAAGAGAGAGAGAGAGAGAAGAGAGACUCAGGAGGGCUGCCCGGCAGUCGACUUCACUUCAUUUUGCUUCUGAGCAAAGUCACAUCAUACACAAGCCUCACGAUCCAAGCGGUAGCAUCAAAUCAGCAAACGCCCAAGAGGCCUUUAGAGAACACAGAAGAGACUCCGAAGUGUG
Molecule: long non-coding RNA, 1411 nt
Organism: Perca flavescens (yellow perch)
Lineage: Eukaryota; Metazoa; Chordata; Actinopteri; Perciformes; Percidae
Exons: 4
Source: RefSeq, a predicted model, not a curated record